AAUGCUCCUCCUGCUCGGCCUCGAGAGCGGUGAUUAACAUUGUCAUUUCAAUUGGUGUGAAUGAGACGAUUAUACUGUUUUAAUUUUAAUUAUGUAAAAUUCUAAAAAGCAGGAGGAGUAACGAUAAGGCUGCUUCAAUUUCUACUAAUAACGGCGUCUUCACAACUCAUUGAAUCGGAACUGACUAAACUAAUGUUGUCUUUUUAGUUCCAUCUGCCACACGCUCCAAACCCCCACCUGGAGAUACCGCUGAUCUACAGGCAUCACUAGUUGAUGCUGUUCCAGCUUCACCAGGUGUGAAGAGGAAGAGACCUGUGCCCCUCCCUCCACAGCUGGCCUUCCUGGUGACAGAGACAGAGGGUCUCACAAAGGUAGAGGAGCCCCACUCAACUUCAAGUAUGUUUAUUUUUUUUAGGGCUGAUGAACAACCUGAUAUCUCUGUAAUGUACAGCUGACUGUUCUUUCCAUGUUGUCAUCAGUUCCCAUAGCUCCUGUUCCCAUGCCUGUCCCUGACCACGACAUGAGCAAGUGGAUCUGCUCACAACAUCAAAAGCUGUGGAUGAGGACGGCACUUCAACAACUUGGGUUGUGGCCUGGGUCCCGACCAGUGCAUAACCCUGGGAACGCAAUUUCUCUUUGGCGUCUUCCUCCUCAACCGGAGCUACUGGACAUAGUGGCUGAGCUCCCAUCUCCCAACUUUUUUUCAGCUCCAUCCAUUUUUCAUUUGGAAGCCAGAGAGCCACAUCAUGGUCAGGUUGAGGAACAAUUACAUCCUGCCGUGCCUCCAUAGCUGUCCUCGUCCUCAGGUGGUCUCUGCAGGCGUGGGAAGACCUUGAGUGAUCGUCAGCGUCCGUGGCCAGUAUUUUAUCUUUUCCUCGCGACUCUGCUGCAAGGCCUGUCGCAGGAACUGGUUCGCUGACAACCCUCGAUGGGUGGAGAAGCUGCCCGUGCGCUUUACUAACCUUUUGCCUGCAUUCCUGACUUACAAGA
This 990-nucleotide long non-coding RNA is filed under the name Takifugu rubripes (torafugu). RNAcentral's name for it is "lncRNA (ENSTRUG00000031272.1)". The record is from RNAcentral. Lineage: Eukaryota; Metazoa; Chordata; Actinopteri; Tetraodontiformes; Tetraodontidae.